UUGUGUGUGCACUUCCUUGUUUGUUUUUGUCACCAUGGUUACUUGAUUUGUUCACCUGCCUUUGUUAGCACACCUGCUUUUCAUUAGAGACCUUAUUUAAGCCUGCCUUCUCCCGUUGUUUGCUUCAUGCAACAUUCACGCUGGUGUCUUGUAUGUUCUUUACUAUUGUUAGGUCUCGUCUUAGCUUCGCGUACGCUCCGCACGUCGACUUUUGGACUCUUUGAACUCGAUGCUUGUUAGCAUUAGCUUCUCGUGCCUUCAGGCACGCCUUUCGUUUGCUGUUUUGGACCAGUGUUAUUUUACUAUUUGUAUAUUAAACCAAGCUCCUACCUGCAAUUUUGGCUCCUCCUGGUCCUCGUGCAUCCUUGGGGUGACAACGCGCAUCCAUAAUGCGUCGCCAAAGCGUCACAAUGAUUGCAUGGCUGAUUACAGAGGAGACAUUAUAUUAUUUGGCUUCGAUGGGGAGAAGAGGCGCCAGGAUCGAACCGAAGCGAGAGUGGACAAUUAUUUUAUAACCGGAAGCGAUGCCCUCCGGUUCAGUCCACUUCAGAGAUAUGGAUGAUGUUGUGACAUCCGUGAUUUGGAGAUCCCUAACUGCAGCAGGCUCUACCAAUGUCGAUGCAGGAAGAGAAUGAUCAAAAAGUUGAGCACAACACUCAAUAAAGCAG
Molecule: long non-coding RNA, 668 nt
Organism: Nerophis ophidion (straightnose pipefish)
Lineage: Eukaryota; Metazoa; Chordata; Actinopteri; Syngnathiformes; Syngnathidae
Exons: 3
Source: RefSeq, a predicted model, not a curated record